AACAAGCAGGAAAACAGGAGUGUGACAAGGGACAGGGCGUUGUUUCCAAUGACCUAGCUCUGACCCAAAGGGAGAGCUGAAGGAGCAGAGGCAGAGACUGGCUAGACCAACUCCCUGGUUCUCAGCAAAUUGCUUCACAACUGAAAAUCAUGCCAAAACAGCUCUUUAUCAAACAUGUGGAAAAAUCUGCCCCACAGUAGUACAGUAAGCAUGAUUUAGAUGUCUGCGUGUCUCUCUUUUCCUUUCUCUUUAAUCCAUGAGAAGGAAACUUCCUGAGGAAAGGCAAAAUCAGACAGAUGGGGCUCUUGUGAGAUUUGGAAAUAUACUAGCAAGAAUAGACAGCCAAAGGGAGUUUGAAACUAUUCACCCUGAUUCCUCAGACAAGGGCUGUUUCCCUGUGCAUCAGUCACAUAGACAUGUAGGCGCCACGAGGGACCCCAGGAGCAAGGUUGCUGAGUCACUCCCCAAAGUCCAUGUUCCCAGUUCUGUAGACAGAGUGCUCCAAAGGGCAUUAAAGGUUAAGCAUCUCUCACUUCGUCUGUUAACUAAAAACAAGGACAGGGAAGUAGGAAGGGUAGCCACUUACUGGAAUAGAGCUUUGAGGGGCCUUGACUAGGGAGCCCUGGUUGUGACAGCUCCUAUGACUCCCAGAAUGGAAGUCUCGGGUUUCCAAAGACACCCCCCUCCACACACACACACACACACACACACACACACACACACACACACAC
This 731-nucleotide long non-coding RNA is filed under the name Rattus norvegicus (Norway rat). RNAcentral's name for it is "long non-coding RNA NONRATT028549". The record is from RNAcentral. Lineage: Eukaryota; Metazoa; Chordata; Mammalia; Rodentia; Muridae.